GAUGAACGCUGGCGGCGUGCCUAAUACAUGCAAGUCGAGCGAACGGACGAGAAGCUUGCUUCUCUGAUGUUAGCGGCGGACGGGUCAGUAACACGUGGAUAACCUACCUAUAAGACUGGGAUAACUUCGGGAAACCGUAGCUAAUACCGGAUAAUAUUUUGAACCGCAUGGUUCAAAAGUGAAAGACGGUCUUGCUGUCACUUAUAGAUUGAUCCGCGCUGCAUUAGCUAGUUGGUAAGGUAACGGCUUACCAAGGCAACGAUGCAUAGCCGACCUGAGAGGGUGAUCGGCCACACUGGAACUGAGACACGGUCCAGACUCCUACGGGAGGCAGCAGUAGGGAAGCUUCCGCAAUGGGCGAAAGCCUGACGGAGCAACGCCGCGUGAGUGAUGAAGGUCUUCGGAUCGUAAAACUCUGUUAUUAGGGAAGAACAUAUGUGUAAGUAACUGUGCACAUCUUGACGGUACCUUAUCAGAAAGCCACGGCUAACUACGUG
RNAcentral lists this ribosomal RNA (497 nucleotides) under uncultured bacterium. RNAcentral's name for it is "partial 16S ribosomal RNA". It matches the Rfam family "Bacterial small subunit ribosomal RNA", at positions 28 to 507 of the family's 1533-position model. The record is from RNAcentral.